CAGAGGGUUACAGAAAAGCAGACACUUACAGAGCACUUACCCUCGGCGUAACACGGCUAACUCAGUGGUCAGACUCUUCACACGUAUUCGUAGAGCUCGCUCUGAGGCCCUCAGUUCCUCCAACUAGGAAGCAGCAGCAGUAACAGCAUACAAAGCACAAGGCUGUGGGAAGUGCAAGUGGGAACCUCAAGGUCCACAUCCUUGUUUCAUUUGGCCAGUCUGCUCCUCUAGACUGUGCACGGCUUCUCUGAGCCCCCGAGUCCCUGAAGUGGAGCCAGUCCCGACUGACCGCAGUCGCUCCAGAGCCUCGGCCAGCGCAUCCUUCUCCUCCCUAACCACAACCAGCCUGAUAUCACUUUCUAGAUUGCUGAAUUACAAAAACAGAACUGACUCUGCACGCAGUCUGCGAGUCUCUUGGUCUGACACUGCAUGGUCUCCUCGCAUCCUCAUGGCAUUUAGUCCAGCCCUUAGAGCCCUGAUCUCUCUCAGGAGAGUUGCAG
Tachysurus fulvidraco (yellow catfish) is the source of this 500-nucleotide long non-coding RNA. RefSeq lists it as uncharacterized. NCBI's taxonomy places the organism in Eukaryota, Metazoa, Chordata, Actinopteri, Siluriformes, Bagridae. The transcript has 4 exons. The record is from RefSeq and is a predicted model, not a curated record.